AUUGAACGCUGGCGGCAUGCCUUACACAUGCAAGUCGAACGGCAGCAUAGGAGCUUGCUCCUGAUGGCGAGUGGCGAACGGGUGAGUAAUAUAUCGGAACGUGCCCUAGAGGGGGGGGUAACUAGUCGAAAGACUAGCUAAUACCGCAUACGGUCUACGGAUGAAAGUGGGGGAUCGCAAGACCUCAUGCUCCUGGAGCGGCCGAUAUCUGAUUAGCUAGUUGGUGGGGUAAAAGCUCACCAAGGCGACGAUCAGUAGCUGGUCUGAGAGGACGACCAGCCGCACUGGGACUGAGACACGGCCCAGACUCCUACGGGAGGCAGCAGUGGGGAAUUUUGGACAAUGGGGGCAACCCUGAUCCAGCAAUGCCGCGUGAGUGAAGAAGGCCUUCGGGUUGUAAAGCUCUUUUGUCAGGGAAGAAACGGUUCUGGAUAAUACCUGGGACUAAUGACGGUACCUGAAGAAUAAGCACCGGCUAACUACGUGCCAGCAGCCGCCGUAA
RNAcentral lists this ribosomal RNA (502 nucleotides) under uncultured bacterium. RNAcentral's name for it is "partial 16S ribosomal RNA". It matches the Rfam family "Bacterial small subunit ribosomal RNA", at positions 30 to 523 of the family's 1533-position model. The record is from RNAcentral.